RNAcentral lists this ribosomal RNA (301 nucleotides) under uncultured bacterium. Its description in RNAcentral is "partial 16S ribosomal RNA". It matches the Rfam family "Bacterial small subunit ribosomal RNA", at positions 509 to 807 of the family's 1533-position model. The record is from RNAcentral.
CAGUCGCCGCGGGAAUACAGAGGGUGCAAGCGUUAAUCGGAAUUACUGGGCGUAAAGCGCGCGUAGGUGGUGGUUUAAGUCCGUUGUGAAAGCCCUGGGCUCAACCUGGGAAUUGCAGUGGAUACUGGGUCACUAGAGUGUGGUAGAGGAUAGUGGAAUUUCCGGUGUAGCAGUGAAAUGCGUAGAGAUCGGAAGGAACAUCUGUGGCGAAGGCGACUAUCUGGGCCAACACUGACACUGAGGCACGAAAGCGUGGGGAGCAAACAGGAUUAGAUACCCCCGUAGUCCCUGUCUCUUAUAC